This is a long non-coding RNA of Oreochromis aureus, 497 nucleotides long. RefSeq lists it as uncharacterized. Lineage: Eukaryota; Metazoa; Chordata; Actinopteri; Cichliformes; Cichlidae. The transcript is spliced from 4 exons. The record is from RefSeq and is a predicted model, not a curated record.
AACAACAACAGUCACUUCCAGUUUGCUCGUUUUGUGCCACGCUGUCAGCUAGCUACAUUGCUGCUCCGCGAGAGGUUAACACACCCCAACAGGUGAUGGAGAGCAUCACCUGUAACCUUAUCCUCGGGAAAAAAAGAUAACAGGUGGUGGAAGGAAACACAGAAAUACUCAAAGGUUGGAUAAUGAUCACUCCGCCAGUCGACGGAGAGGAAAAAAUAGAUCCGUGAACGAGGCGGAAGAACACCUAAGGUGGGUUAACAGCACUUCUUAAAUGGGGUGACCAAAAUACUUGUCAGUUGCGAAGUACACCUGCACAAAGCCAAGAUAAAGGUCAUUUGUGGGAAUAAAACUCUUGAGUGGGAAAAUGGAGAGAGGAAGGACCAAGCCUGUGCUGCACUCAGAGAGCUCUGCCAACUAUGAAACCAUGCACGACUUCUGCAGAAAAGCAACCAAAAAAGUGCUAAUGGUCUCAAAGAAUGCAGACAAAAGUCAGCAAA